This 522-nucleotide ribosomal RNA is filed under the name Fusarium oxysporum. RNAcentral describes it as "eukaryotic LSU rRNA". The stretch from base 165 to 318 matches the Rfam family "5.8S ribosomal RNA". The record is from RNAcentral. Lineage: Eukaryota; Fungi; Ascomycota; Sordariomycetes; Hypocreales; Nectriaceae.
UGCGGAGGGAUCAUUACCGAGUUUACAACUCCCAAACCCCUGUGAACAUACCACUUGUUGCCUCGGCGGAUCAGCCCGCUCCCGGUAAAACGGGACGGCCCGCCAGAGGACCCCUAAACUCUGUUUCUAUAUGUAACUUCUGAGUAAAACCAUAAAUAAAUCAAAACUUUCAACAACGGAUCUCUUGGUUCUGGCAUCGAUGAAGAACGCAGCAAAAUGCGAUAAGUAAUGUGAAUUGCAGAAUUCAGUGAAUCAUCGAAUCUUUGAACGCACAUUGCGCCCGCCAGUAUUCUGGCGGGCAUGCCUGUUCGAGCGUCAUUUCAACCCUCAAGCACAGCUUGGUGUUGGGACUCGCGUUAAUUCGCGUUCCCCAAAUUGAUUGGCGGUCACGUCGAGCUUCCAUAGCGUAGUAGUAAAACCCUCGUUACUGGUAAUCGUCGCGGCCACGCCGUUAAACCCCAACUUCUGAAUGUUGACCUCGGAUCAGGUAGGAAUACCCGCUGAACUUAAGCAUAUCAAUAA